UCCCAGACUCCUACGGGAGGCAGCAGUGGGGAAUAUUGCACAAUGGGGGAAACCCUGAUGCAGCGACGCCGCGUGAGUGAAGAAGUAUUUCGGUAUGUAAAGCUCUAUCAGCAGGGAAGAAAAUGACGGUACCUGAUUAAGAAGCCCCGGCUAACUACGUGCCAGCAGCCGCGGUAAUACGUAGGGAGCAAGCGUUAUCCGGAUUUAUUGGGUGUAAAGGGUGCGUAGACGGGAAGGCAAGUUGGUUGUGAAAUCCCUCGGCUUAACUGAGGAACUGCAACCAAAACUAUCUUUCUUGAGUGCUGGAGAGGAAAGUGGAAUUCCUAGUGUAGCGGUGAAAUGCGUAGAUAUUAGGAGGAACACCAGUGGCGAAGGCGACUUUCUGGACAGUAACUGACGUUGAGGCACGAAAGUGUGGGGAGCAAACAGGAUUAGAUACCCUAGUAAA
Molecule: ribosomal RNA, 448 nt
Filed under: uncultured bacterium
Lineage: Bacteria
Description: bacterial SSU rRNA
Rfam family: Bacterial small subunit ribosomal RNA
Source: RNAcentral